ACGUGUGAUCUUCCGAUAACGAAAGAGGCAUAGGGAAAGAAAUUUUUCAAAAAUCGAACGACGAGACGAUACACGUUUUAGGUGAAAUUAAAUUUAACCAAAAUGAUGGUAAAGGAAAACGAAACGACGGAGUAAAGGAAACGAGAAUACAUUUUUUUUGACGACAAUUUUCGGAGGCUAUAAUAUCUAACGAUAAGUAAGGAUCUCGUGCAUGCGAUAUGCAUACACCUGUAUUAAGACGUUAAGAUGAGUAUAAGAAAUUAAUUAAUCAACUAACGAAAAAUUGUUGUAAUCACGUAAGUUUCAGGGUGACAUGGGGGGGGAGAGAUCCUGAGCUAUUAAUGAAUUUUAAAGGGGGAAAAAAAGAAACGACGAAAUCACGCUGGUGGUGAAAAAAAAAGGGAAAAUUCUUGUCCGAAAAUUGAUUGAACGCGGCAUCUGAGUGAUAAUUAUUAAUAAUACACACUCGGGUAGCUAUUGGUGACUGCGCGCGGCGUUCGA
Neodiprion fabricii is the source of this 501-nucleotide long non-coding RNA. RefSeq lists it as uncharacterized. The transcript is spliced from 3 exons. The record is from RefSeq and is a predicted model, not a curated record. Lineage: Eukaryota; Metazoa; Arthropoda; Insecta; Hymenoptera; Diprionidae.